GAGCGACAGGUGUUGCGCGGCGGAAGGGGGGGGGGGGGGGGCUGCAAAAAUCUGCGCCAUAGAUCUGCGCUAUCAGUUCAGUGCGAAUUGCGUGACGAGCACGGGUUGAGGAAUUUCAUCAAUGUUCGGUUUCCAAGUGGCGCGACUUCGCCCGCGAGAAGUAACCGGGUCGCGGUUCGCCUGUGCCGAAUCGUUGUCCUGCAGGACAACGAAAGACUUGGGAUCCUCCCUCCCAAAGCUCGGCGAGUAAGGCCUCUGACUCUUAGGGUUGUAGAUUAUACUUUCAUUCUCUGACGGUAAAACCUUCGCUGGAACUACUCCAGGACCUGGAUGUCUGUUACGGCCAAAACCACGCGGCUCGUCGUCCACGUUACAGACGUGCAGCCGGUACGUAGGACUUGGCGAGCGUCGUCGCAGGACCGACGGAUCCGUCGCUUCAACGUGCGUCGUCGGACGCUGCAGGCCCAACGAUCCUCUGAAAAAAGUUACCUUCCAGAUGUCCUCGCUACUAGCACGGAACGCCCUGCGAUACUCGGUGAUGAGAUUCCCGAGGGAGCCUUCCGCCCUGCAGAGGCUGUCUUUGGGCCGACCCUGGACCCGUCUUCGGCGAUAACGAGCGAGCUCGUCCACCGUCAGACUCUGUGGGAAUGGCCAUCGCUCUUUGCCUUUGCCUCGCGCUAUCUCAGAGUCGGAGGAAGACUUGCCCAACCCGCAGAGCUGCCGUCGUCUAGAAUUAUUGCACAAGAAGGUAAACAGGCGGGACGGUGUUGAAAUUCCGAAUUUUAAAAGUUCGAAAAUUGAAGUAAAGAAAUCAGAUUUUGACGAAACAUCAAAAUUUCGAAUGGUCCAACACUCGGCGCUCAAAGUUCCGAAAGUGCAGAGUUCUGAAAUGACAAAAUGCUGAAGGACGUAACUCCGACAAGUCAAAGUUCGAAAAGUGCGAAAAUUAGAAAAUUUAAAAAUCUAAAUCAUAGAAAUUCCGAAUGAUCGAAAAUCUUCAGUUCUGUGAAUUUCUGGUUUGGUCAAAUUUCAUUGCUUUGAACUUUCUUUGUUUUGGAUUUUCAAUAUUUUUUUAGAUUUUUUACACCUGGUCGUUGAGUAAACUACGCUGUAUAAGUAUAUUUUCAUGUCCCGAACUUUACUCUAUCGAAACUUUAUUUUUUAGAACCUUGGUCUAUCGUAACUUGAGUUUUCGGAACUUUGAGCCGUCGAGUUUCCAACCAUUCGAAACUUUGUUGUUUCGUAAAAGUUUGAUUUCUUUACUUCACGUUUAGCCACCAAAUUAUUCGGAACUAGGAGCUUUCGGAAAUUUUUAAAUUCAGAAUUUCAUACCCCGCCCCAAACAGGCAGCUAAAUGUAUAAGAUUAGGAGAAAGUUUUGUUGCAGAGUUUCGUUGGGGAAGAUUGAAAAUAAUUGAGUUGGAUGAAGGAGUUGCUUAGAGAAGCUGUUUUUUCAAUUGUUUUUCGCAAAAUCCAAUGUAAUCUGUAUACCUUGACGCACUCUUAGGCUUUAUCUUUAAUUUCCUCUAAAUAUACUCAUAUAUACUCACAUUCAAAAACAAUAUUGAAACGUUUUCACCAUUCAUCGCUAGCUUGCAGUGAGUCUAAAUUUAAUUUUGCGAAUAAAAAUGAUAAAAAUAACUUACGAAAAGGGAGAGAAAUAUAUGGAAAUAGAUUCCAAAGAAGCGAAGUCUCGCGACCGCGUUACCAAAGCUGCAGGAUGCCGACGGCAGAAAUCGCGUGUUAAAAACUCGCAAAAGGCAUGCUGCGGGCCGGGCCGAGAGUUCGAAACAAACUGAGCACGACUGCAGGGAGGAUAAUGGGCGUCGGGAGGAAGGUACAUGCCGUCACAGGCAUCUCCGCAUACGGGGAACAUCGAUUUAGAACACGAGGAGAAAUAAAAUCCGGUUUAUGCGGUAUAAUGGAUUCCCGACACGGAAGCAAUCGAAUUAAGAGGCAAUCCAGAAAGUGGACCAAAAAUACACCGGUGCCAAUCACGUUUCGGGCAAUUAAUUAUUCGACGAGCCGCCAUCCUGCCUUUUAUCUUCGUCCGUAUGUAAAGCGCUUUUCGCUUUACUCCUAAUCCGUGGAUAAUCGCUCAUCUUUACCGGAUCACGCGAUGAUCGGCUCAGCUCUAAUAUACCCACUUAGCGGUAUUAAACGCAUAAUUUAACUGCCUCGUUGAUGUAAUCUGCCAAGUUUUAUCAUCAAUACAGAUAGAAUGAUACAAACCUCAGAGAUUUUUUCUUCUCGAUACCCGAAACAUCGCAGAAGGCUUACAUUUUCCUUUUAAUCUUCAUUUCUGAUGGACAGCUUGUAGGUAUAAAUUGAGUAUUCCAGAUAAUACAGUGAUUUUGUAUCGUAGAUGUUUUUGAGCAGUUCUAUACUAAUAAUAAAUUUGAUCGACGUAAGACCGGCAGUUAAUG
Molecule: long non-coding RNA, 2425 nt
Filed under: Neodiprion lecontei (redheaded pine sawfly)
Lineage: Eukaryota; Metazoa; Arthropoda; Insecta; Hymenoptera; Diprionidae
Description: uncharacterized LOC124294198
Source: RNAcentral